GGCGACCGGCGCACGGGUGAGUAACACGUAUCCAACCUGCCGAUAACUCGGGGAUAGCCUUUCGAAAGAAAGAUUAAUACCCGAUGGCAUAAUAGAACCGCAUGGUUUGAUUAUUAAAGAAUUUCGGUUAUCGAUGGGGAUGCGUUCCAUUAGGCAGUUGGUGAGGUAACGGCUCACCAAACCUUCGAUGGAUAGGGGUUCUGAGAGGAAGGUCCCCCACAUUGGAACUGAGACACGGCCCAG
Molecule: ribosomal RNA, 243 nt
Filed under: uncultured bacterium
Lineage: Bacteria
Description: partial 16S ribosomal RNA
Rfam family: Bacterial small subunit ribosomal RNA
Source: RNAcentral